This 253-nucleotide ribosomal RNA is filed under the name uncultured bacterium. Its description in RNAcentral is "partial 16S ribosomal RNA". It matches the Rfam family "Bacterial small subunit ribosomal RNA", at positions 524 to 776 of the family's 1533-position model. The record is from RNAcentral.
UACGGAGGGUGCAAGCGUUGCUCGGAAUUAUUGGGCGUAAAGGGGAGGUAGGUGGUCUCGUUUGUCCGGGGUGAAAUCCCUGAGCUUAACUCAGGACGUGCCUCGGAAACGGCGAGACUGGAGUACUGGAGAGGCUAGCGGAAUACCCGGUGUAGCGGUGAAAUGCGUAGAGAUCGGGUGGAACACCAGAGGCGAAGGCGGCUAGCUGGACAGUUACUGACACUCAACUCCGAAAGCGUGGGGAGCAAACAGG